Molecule: ribosomal RNA, 301 nt
Filed under: uncultured bacterium
Lineage: Bacteria
Description: partial 16S ribosomal RNA
Rfam family: Bacterial small subunit ribosomal RNA
Source: RNAcentral
CAGCCCCACGGUAAUACGUAGGGGGCUAGCGUUGUUCGGAUUUACUGGACGUAAAGGGCGCGUAGGCGGACUGAUAAGUCAGGAGUGAAAUCCCAAGGCUCAACCUUGGAACUGCCUUUGAUACUGUUUGUCUUGAGUUCGAGAGAGGUAAGUGGAACUGCGAGUGUAGAGGUGAAAUUCGUAGAUAUUCGCAAGAACACCAGUGGCGAAGGCGGCUUACUGGCUCGAAACUGACGCUGAGGCGCGAAAGCGUGGGGAGCAAACAGGAUUAGAUACCCCCGUAGUCCCUGUCUCUUAUACA